CGGAACCCGGGAAUCUUCUGGAAGGCUGGCGGUGGAGCCUAGCUGUUAGCUCCCUCCGGGUCCGAGGUCUGAGCCGCGCAGGCGCGGCCUCCCUGCUUCGAAAUGGCAGCAGGAGCUCAGCAGUGGAGGACGAAGAGAGGGCCCUGCUCUGGCCGGCAGCGGAGCACAGCGGCCGCCAGCGAGGGAGGACGCCAGGUCAGUGAUGGCACAUUCAGUGUUCUAGAUGGGACAACAGUGCAGAGGAAAUCAGGUUUGUCUGCCAUGAUUUAGUGCUCUGGAAGACACAGCACCUGCCCUCCCCUGGCCAUCUACCCACAGAACCAGGGAGAAGGCUGGACACCUGUCACUCACACCAAUUUGAGAUUCAUCACCACCUCCCUGGAGACCACCUCCCUGACCUGAGGCUGUCUGACCUCCUCUAGCCUUGCAAAUCCUCAGGAGGAAGGAUGAUACCACAAGCAAGCCCUUGGUUACAAGAGUGCUCAGAAGCCAGGAAUUUUUCAUUAACUAUAAUUGAAAUGAAAAAUGAUUCUGAUGUUUACUACCAGGGUAAUCUUAGAUCUCUGAGCCUUUACUUUGGCCUGUGUAACUUGGGGAUAGUAACACCCAUAUCCAAAUGGUUUUGUUGAGGACAAAGAAUUAACACAGAUAUUAAGAAUUCAUUAUAUCUGCCACCUGCUAGGUGCCUAACAAAUAGCAGUGGUAAGAAUUGUGACUGUG
Molecule: long non-coding RNA, 720 nt
Filed under: Heterocephalus glaber (naked mole-rat)
Lineage: Eukaryota; Metazoa; Chordata; Mammalia; Rodentia; Bathyergidae
Description: lncRNA (ENSHGLG00000048316.1)
Source: RNAcentral